This 71-nucleotide transfer RNA is filed under the name Synapturanus sp. MZUSP 159215. RNAcentral's name for it is "tRNA-Leu". The record is from RNAcentral. Lineage: Eukaryota; Metazoa; Chordata; Amphibia; Anura; Microhylidae.
GCUUUUAAAGGAAAACAGUCUUCCCCUGGACUUAGGCUCCAGAUCUCCCGGUGCAAAUCCGAGUAAAAGUA